This is a non-coding RNA of Gorilla gorilla gorilla (western lowland gorilla), 148 nucleotides long. It matches the Rfam family "Metazoan signal recognition particle RNA". Rfam says of the family: The signal recognition particle (SRP) is a universally conserved ribonucleoprotein. It is involved in the co-translational targeting of proteins to membranes. The eukaryotic SRP consists of a 300-nucleotide 7S RNA and six proteins: SRPs 72, 68, 54, 19, 14, and 9. The record is from Rfam. Lineage: Eukaryota; Metazoa; Chordata; Mammalia; Primates; Hominidae.
GCCAGGUGUGGUGGCGCACACCUGUAGUCCCAGCUACUUGGGAGGCUGAGAUGGGAGAAUCGCUUGAACCCAGGAGGCAGAGGUUGCAGUGAGCCGAGAUCGUGUCACUGCACUACAGCCUGGGUGAUAGAAUGAUACUCUGUCUCAA